UCUGGCGUAGCUCAGCGGUAGAGCGGCUCCCUGUUAAGGAGAUGGUCGCAGGUUCGAUCCCUGCCGCCAGAG
This 72-nucleotide transfer RNA is filed under the name bacterium. Its description in RNAcentral is "tRNA-Asn". It matches the Rfam family "tRNA". From Rfam's summary of the family: Transfer RNA (tRNA) molecules are approximately 80 nucleotides in length. The record is from RNAcentral.